CACGCCGUAAACGAUGGAUACUAGGUGUUGGUGGCCCUUUACCCCACCAGUGCCGAAGCUAACGCGAUAAGUAUCCCACCUGGGGACUACGGUCGCAAGACUAAAACUCAAAGGAAUUGACGGGGGCCCGCACAAGCAGCGGAGCGUGUGGUUUAAUUCGAGGCUACACGAAGAACCUUACCUGGGUUUGACAUGCUAGUGGUAGUGACGCGAAAGCCGAACGACCCUUCGGGGAGCUAGCACAGGUGC
Molecule: ribosomal RNA, 249 nt
Filed under: uncultured Chloroflexota bacterium
Lineage: Bacteria; Bacillati; Chloroflexota
Description: uncultured Chloroflexi bacterium partial 16S ribosomal RNA
Rfam family: Bacterial small subunit ribosomal RNA
Source: RNAcentral